CCCAGACAAGGUGACUUUUAUUAAUAUAUUUGCCUGUAUUUACCCCCCAAAAUAAAAUGACAUUUAACUGCUAUCAUAGAGAACUACAAAUGCCUGUCUCAAGCUUCACAUCCCUCACCAAGGGUCAUGGUCAUCUGGAUGAGACUGCCAAAUCAAGGCUAAGAACCAGUGGGUGUGCCUGAGGCUUACCACCUCUCAAUUAGAUGCAGACCCAAAGACAUUCAAGUCUCCAAUUGUCCCAGUAAGAGUUGAUGUACAGGCCUAAGUGACCAUACACAAUGGACCUACAGCUGGGGUGAGAUUAUUCCAUCAUUCACACACAGUAGACCUGGUGUAAACGUGGCCAACAAAAUGUUGUCCUCAAUGCUUAAGUUGUAUUGUCUAUGGCUCAGUUUUUUUAAAUGCUGUGAUCACUAAGGAAUGAUGUUGAGGGACACACGCUGAGACCCCGAGUAUGACUGGACAGACAUUUGUGACAACGACCUAAAAGGGGUGCAAAAGCACACCAGCACCCCAUUUUAUGUUUAUUCCAUGGCCAACCAAC
This is a long non-coding RNA of Oncorhynchus masou masou (cherry salmon), 544 nucleotides long. RefSeq lists it as uncharacterized. The transcript is spliced from 3 exons. NCBI's taxonomy places the organism in Eukaryota, Metazoa, Chordata, Actinopteri, Salmoniformes, Salmonidae. The record is from RefSeq and is a predicted model, not a curated record.